CAGCCUCACCCUUCCUAGCAGCCAGAGGAGGAGCAACCUGGGCGAUGCUGGUCAUGGCAUCUGACAGACCAGAGGGACCCGUCUUUGUUUUAAACCCAUACUGUGACAUGCAAGUCCUUACAAGCUGCUGAGAGUCCUGUGGCCUUUUCAAAGGCAGGGGACCCCUUCCGGAGCUCUGUGUCCAGAGCCCAGUUUCAGACAAACUGUGCGUGGCUGUUUCUUAGGGAUCUCUGGGGACAGGGCCCACUCCAAGCACCAAGGAUGCACGAACUGGCAGCUGCAUGGACACCACCACCCCCCCCAGGCUCCUGAGCGGUGCCUGCAGUUGCCACCUGUGCUUCACACAUGAGGAGGGGACAGCUGGAUCAGGAACCGCCACACACAGCCCAGGAGAUUGGGGAACUUGGCCUCAGGGGUCUCACACCAGCUCAGCAACCCCCUCAGCUAAAUGGCCCCAGUGAGAGGCCACCUUGGCGGGGAACCAGAGGGAAGGGCUGAGCUGAGAACGAGGAUGCAGGAUCCAUUCAGUCGCCUGCUUGAUGUUCCUAGAGAAAGAUCCUGAAGUGCAGCGAGGCACUGUCGGAAGACCCAAGAAGACAUCUUGGGGAAAGUGAAUAAAAGAGAUUCCUGCCAAUGUGAGUUUCAAAAUGCACGGUGCUAAAUCAACUUUAGCCUAAAGCUGCCUCCUUACAUAUUUUAAGUUCAGCCUAAAGGUUUUUCUGCAUAUUGUCAACUAUAACAAGUGGAGGUGUAAACAGGCCAGAGCCUACACUUGUGCCUAUCACUGAGAUUUGGCCGAUCACAUGUAGCCAGCUGUUUGAACUGUGUUCAAAUAAGGCAAACGCCAACCUGUAACAAUCCGGCUGUGUCUGGGCCUCACUUCCAUCUUCUGUGCAUUACUUUCCUUUUUCUGUCCAAAAUUAUUCUUCUGCCCGAGGCUGCACUGGAGUCCUGGAGCCUACUAUGGCUGGGAAGGCUGCCUGAUUCACAAAUCAUCCAUUGUUCAAUUAAAUUCCUUUACAUUUAAUUUGGCUGAAGUUUUUCUUUU
Molecule: long non-coding RNA, 1048 nt
Organism: Gorilla gorilla gorilla (western lowland gorilla)
Lineage: Eukaryota; Metazoa; Chordata; Mammalia; Primates; Hominidae
Exons: 3
Source: RefSeq, a predicted model, not a curated record